RNAcentral lists this long non-coding RNA (406 nucleotides) under Zostera marina. RNAcentral describes it as "long non-coding RNA (ZMAR_LNC005483)". Lineage: Eukaryota; Viridiplantae; Streptophyta; Magnoliopsida; Alismatales; Zosteraceae. The record is from RNAcentral.
UGCAAAGACAGAAACAACAACGGCAACCACGAUCGCAAUUGUAAGAAGUCGCAGGGCGGAAGAGCUACGGAAGAAGAAACGCGACGAGGAAGGUCUCCAUCUCCUAACCCUCCUCCUCCAAUGUGCAGAAGCAGUCUCCGGCGACAACCUGGAAGAAGCCAAGAAGAUGUUAGUCGAAAUCUCGGAACUCUCAACACCCUACGGCACAUCCGCACAGCGUGUCGCUGCCUAUUUUUCCGAAGCAAUAACUGCUCGUAUUCUAAGCUCCUACCUUGAAAUCUACUCCCCCUUCCGUCUAAACCGCUGGCAGACGCAGAAACUUGCCGGAGCAUUCCAAGUGUUCAAUGGCAUUUGCCCGUUUAUAAAAUUCUCUCAUUUCACGGCGAACCAAGCUAUCCAAGAAGCG